RNAcentral lists this small nuclear RNA (168 nucleotides) under Ovis aries (sheep). RNAcentral's name for it is "U2 spliceosomal RNA (ENSOARG00185048331.1, ENSOARG00215048373.1)". It matches the Rfam family "U2 spliceosomal RNA". Rfam says of the family: U2 is a small nuclear RNA (snRNA) component of the spliceosome (involved in pre-mRNA splicing). Complementary binding between U2 snRNA (in an area lying towards the 5' end but 3' to hairpin I) and the branchpoint sequence (BPS) of the intron results the bulging out of an unpaired adenosine, on the BPS, which initiates a nucleophilic attack at the intronic 5' splice site, thus starting the first of two transesterification reactions that mediate splicing. The record is from RNAcentral. Lineage: Eukaryota; Metazoa; Chordata; Mammalia; Artiodactyla; Bovidae.
AUCACUUCUCGGCCUUUUGGCUAAGAUAAGUAUAGUAUCUGUUGUUAUCAGUUUAAAAUGACUGCCAAGUUUUUAAUCUGUUCCAUGGCUAGUGAUACAUGCACAAUAUUUGGUUGUUGUUGUUUGUUUUUAAGGCAAAAGCAUCAAUAAAUAUCUUUUGGACCACUU